CCUGGACGGUAGGUAUUUAUUUUCCUUAUUUAGCAAAUGAAGAAAAUUAGAAUCAGCAACAUAAAGAAAACCUGAGGAAAGCCUGCAAUUAGUAAAUAAUAAAGCCAGGGUUCCAAUUCAGAUCAGGUUGAACUCCAAACCUUUGUUCCCUCCCAUGAUAUCAUGUCAUAGUGUUCUGGUCAUGGUGACCCAGAAAGGAAGUAUUGUGUCCAACACGUGAGUCGCCAUAAAUGUUCACCACAUUUCUUUUACCAAUUAAAGCAGAACAUACAUAGAGGAAAGUGUGUAUGUCUUUGUGCAUAGCUUGCUGAAUUUUCCUGUGCAGAUUAUGUAGCAUCCCAGAAGAACCCCUUCUCACUCAUACUCCACAAAUUCUAAGAGCAUAGUUAAGUUUUACCUGUUUUUAUAAAACUUCAUAUUAAUGGAAUUAUGUAUAAUUCAUAAUAUAUUAUCAUACCAUAUAUAUUCCAUUGGCUCCAACUUUCCUGGGAUCCAGAUGGGAAGCCUGAUUCUAGAACAGUGCAAAAGUUCAGUUAUAAGAACUGAGUUAAAGUUCAAAGGCAGAUUAGAGUAGGAUCAAGGGUGAAUAUCUGUUAAGACUUGAAAUAUUAGCUUAAGACUUGAAUAUUAACCUUCUUGCUAGCUAAGAUCAUUUUGGACCUUGAGCAAUGAUAUGGAUCUUCUUUCUAGAAAAAGCAAAUAGGCACAAGACAAUAAAAUCUUGUCUGCAAUGUCAGGGAGCUCACAAACUCUUUAAAGUUCAUCUAUGAAUUCCUUGGGGAUUUGUAUCCACCUAGAUAAGAACCUUUGUCCUACAGGAGCAGGGCUGAGCAUGCACGUGGAGGUCACAUGAUUCCAACCAUGGAUAGAGAGGUGUAAAACCUGGGAAAUGUCCCUGACAUGACAACUCUGCCAAUAGUUUCUUUUUCUUCUUAAAAUUCAUUUGGGAAAAAAAAAAGCCACACGAACAAGAAAAAGAUGACUAGUAAAUUGAAUUUUAUUUCCUUGUUAGUCCCUGUAUUCUCAACGAUACAACCAGAUCCAUAGUCUCUCACCUCAGAGACCACCAGUUACCAUUUUCUUGUGUAUCCUCCCAGAAAUGUUCUGACCUAUAAUCUGACCUAGUUAUUCUAUUCAAAGUUUCUAGCCCUAACAAUUCAUGCUGCAAAUAUUGCCAGACUUGUUUUCCUAAAACAUCAGAUUAUGUUAUUUUCUUGCUCAGAAAUAUUUUAUAGCUCCUUGAUACCAACAUAAUGAAAUGCAAAAUCCCUAACUUGACAUCAAUGCUCUCCUUCACCAAAACUCUGAAAUCCCUCUCUAGUGACUAAAACAAAACAAAAGAACGUGAAACCUCUUCUGUCCCCAGGGAAGACUUCUGCCAGACCCCAUGAUCCCAAAUACCCAGCUGCCAUUUUCUGUUAAUUCUUCCAUUGAGAUAUUCUUUAUAUCUUUCCUUUCUUUCUUUGACAUCUUUUUUUCCCCAGCCUCUGAGCCAGGCCUGCUCACUUCAGCCUAGUGCAGGGCACCACAUGGCCAGUGUCACCUUCUGGAAGCUGCUCCUAGAGCAUUUCAUUUUCCUUGCAAACACCUUCAGUGAGUCUAGUCCAAACUCCUUUCUCUAAAUAGCUGCGGCAAAAAUCAAGUGAUUGAAAUAGAAACCAAAUGGCUGUGAACAAGUAAUCUAUUAAGGCCAGAUCCAGAUUUUUGUGGGGAUGAAGUUUAUAAUCAAGGGGACCUUCUCUAAGAAGCAGAACAUAAAAUAUAAAUAAAAAAUCAGGUAAAAAAGCAAUAAUUUAUUUAAAAACUGAUUAAAUUCUGACUGAUAUCACAAACAUAAUCCAGAAAAAGCAACAUAAUAUUUUUAAAUAAACUGCCAUCUAUAACUUAAUAAUAUUAUUUUGUGUCUUCACCCAACAAUGAUUUUGUAGUGUCAUUUUAAGUGAGACUAAAGAAAGGUGAUUUAGUCUUUCUCCUAGCAUGAUUGAUUAGAAUUUGUUCUUUAUUAUUGAUAUUAAAUGUUAUUGAUGCAUUUUAGGAGUUUGUGAAAUUCAAGAAAACUUCUAUUAAGUUCCCAUAAGACUUCAGGGUCCUUUAAGUUUGUUUUUGUAGUGGUUAAUCUUAAAUACUCUGAGCUGAUUUCACUCAUGAUCCAGUUUGUUAUCAAUGUCCCAUUGGAGAUAUUAAUUUUCUGUUACACUUGCUGAAAUCAGUGUCUUAUGACAAAUCAUUAAGAGUCAUAGGACUCUCCUCUUCGUUGGCUAGGUCAUCAAAUAAUCCAAAGACUUAUUCAUUAUUUCUAUUCUAAAUGUACCUUUUUCUCCUAAUGAACUUCUGGUUUUUGUAUGAUUUGAAAAUCCUUUGAUAAUCAUUUCUUGUAAUAUACAUUCACUCUGCAAUAUCUACCACCACUUCUUAAUUACAUAUGGAAAUAGAUGAAAAUAUUUGUAUUUUAUAUGGAAAUAGACGAAAAUAUUUGUAUUUUAUGAUCAUUUAUAAUUGCAAAUGGUGCAUGAUUAAAUAUAUUCUGGUAGAAGAGAAUUCCGUUUUGGCUAGGCAUUAUCUUCCACUCACAAGUUUAAAAACUGUCAUUUUGAAAUUCUUUCAAACAUAUAGAAAAAUUUCAAGAAUGUGAAAACACACUCCCAUGUGCCUUUGCCCAAAUUGACAAUUAUUCAAAUUUUAUUACAUUUGUUUUGUCAUGGUACUUGUGUGUGGUGUACAUGUUUUUUUUCUUUUUUUUUCCUGCAUCAUUCAAAAACAUUGCAUAUAGUAUGCCACUUUAC
Molecule: long non-coding RNA, 2783 nt
Filed under: Marmota monax (woodchuck)
Lineage: Eukaryota; Metazoa; Chordata; Mammalia; Rodentia; Sciuridae
Source: RNAcentral